RNAcentral lists this ribosomal RNA (466 nucleotides) under uncultured bacterium. RNAcentral describes it as "bacterial SSU rRNA". It matches the Rfam family "Bacterial small subunit ribosomal RNA", at positions 8 to 466 of the family's 1533-position model. The record is from RNAcentral.
AGAGUUUGAUCCUGGCUCAGGACGAACGCUGGCGGCGUGCCUAAUACAUGCAAGUCGAGCGGACUGGAGGGAGCUUGCUCCCAAAGGUUAGCGGCGGACGGGUGAGUAACACGUGGGCAACCUGCCCGACAGACCGGGAUAACGCUUGGAAACGAGUGCUAAUACCGGAUAGGCUUUUCCUUCGCAUGAAGGAAAAGAGAAAGAAGCUUUCGCUUCACUGUCGGAUGGGCCCGCGGCGCAUUAGCUAGUUGGUGAGGUAACGGCUCACCAAGGCGACGAUGCGUAGCCGACCUGAGAGGGUGACCGGCCACACUGGGACUGAGACACGGCCCAGACUCCUACGGGAGGCAGCAGUAGGGAAUCUUCCACAAUGGGCGCAAGCCUGAUGGAGCAACGCCGCGUGAAUGAUGAAGGCCUUCGGGUUGUAAAAUUCUGUCUUCUGUGAAGAACAAGUGUGAGAAGAGAA